AGUGAACGCUGGCGGCGUGGAUUAGGCAUGCAAGUCGAGCGAACCCGCAAGGGUUAGCGGCAAAAGGGUGAGUAACACGUAAGUAAUCUGCCCUUAAGACGGGGAUAGCACCGUGAAAACGGUGGUAAUACUCGAUGUUAUCGGUAGCCUGCAUGGGCGGCCGAUCAAAGAUGGGGACCGUAAGGCCUGUCACUUAGGGAUGAGCUUGCGUACCAUCAGCUAGUUGGUAGGGUAAUGGCCUACCAAGGCUAAGACGGUUAGCUGGUCUGAGAGGACGACCAGCCACAUUGGGACUGAGACACUGCCCAGACUCCUACGGGAGGCUGCAGUCGAGAAUAUUUAGCAAUGGACGAAAGUCUGACUAUGCGACGCCGCGUGCAGGAUGAAGGUCUUCGGAUUGUAAACUGCUUUUGUUAGGGGAGAAACCUGAAACGUUAACACCGUUUCAGCUGACGGUACCUGACGAAUAAGCCACGGCAAACCCUGUG
Molecule: ribosomal RNA, 488 nt
Filed under: uncultured organism
Description: bacterial SSU rRNA
Rfam family: Bacterial small subunit ribosomal RNA
Source: RNAcentral